Molecule: ribosomal RNA, 355 nt
Filed under: Acartia fossae
Lineage: Eukaryota; Metazoa; Arthropoda; Copepoda; Calanoida; Acartiidae
Description: partial 28S ribosomal RNA
Source: RNAcentral
AGUUCAAGAGUACGUGAAACUGUGUGGCAGCAAACGGAGCCUUCCUCGAAGUUGCUCCGGGCGGAUCCAGCCUUGGGACGGCGAAUGCCCCUCGGUGUCGACCAGCAAUGGCUUCACCGGGGGCGCACAGCCGCCUCCUCGGUGCAUCUCCGCCCGGAGGUUACGGUAGGAACUGUUGGGCACGGACCUCAGGCCCGGGAACGAGUUUUCGCUCCGGCGUCAGCUCCCGGCGCCCGGCUCUGCGCCCGACAGGCUAGCGGCAGACUCGUAUAGCGAGCAGCACGUCUUGCUGCGGUCUGCCUUUCCCCCUACCGAGUAGGUUGGCGGAGGCUUCGACCCGUCUUGAAACACGGAC